RNAcentral lists this ribosomal RNA (274 nucleotides) under uncultured bacterium. Its description in RNAcentral is "partial 16S ribosomal RNA". It matches the Rfam family "Bacterial small subunit ribosomal RNA", at positions 523 to 796 of the family's 1533-position model. The record is from RNAcentral.
AUACAGAGGGUGCGAGCGUUAAUCGGAAUUACUGGGCGUAAAGCGCGCGUAGGCGGCUUAUUAAGUCAGAUGUGAAAUCCCCGGGCUCAACCUGGGAACUGCAUCUGAUACUGGUAAGCUAGAGUUUUGGAGAGGGAAGUAGAAUUUCAGGUGUAGCGGUGAAAUGCAUAGAGAUCUGAAGGAAUACCAGUGGCGAAGGCGACUUCCUGGCCAAAAACUGACGCUCAGGCGCGAAAGCGUGGGUAGCAAACGGGAUUAGAUACCCUAGUAGUCC